CUGUGACUGUGUCCCUUUCCCCCAUCUGCAGUUGCCGUUUUUGAUUUUCUUUCUUUCCUCCCCACUUCCAUCCGGAUCCUCUCCUAUUUCCUCCUUGGAUUUCUCGUUCUGUCUCUCAGGUUCUCCUCUCCGUAAAUAUUCUCUCCUCUCCCUCUCCGGGAUCCGUCCCCUCCCCCACGUGGAUCUGCCUCCCCGGCGCCCCCUCCUCAUUCAUCCUGGGAGAUGAAUUUGUCGCCUUAUUGGACGCCGAGGCCAGAGCCGUGUGAAGGGGCUCGGCCAGCGCUGUGCAUUUUCUUCAUGCAUAUUGAGGAGAUGGUAAUGAGCGCGUUUGCAUUGUUGCUUGGAAAUGUUGUGUUUCCUGCCGCAGUUCGCAGUUCGGAGUGGGCGAGGGUGGUGUGGGCCCAGGACAGCCUCUCAGUAGGCACCCGGCCUGGCGGCCGCCGCUGACCCUCUCCGGAUUCCCAGGCUCUGGGUGCCGGGGGAGGAAGCGACCUUGCCGAGCUCCUGACCCGGCCGCCGCCUCCUCCUCCGGUUUCUCCACAAAGGCCGUCGCGCUCCCCUCAUUAAAGCCUCGUUACAGGAACCCCCGGCUGGCUCGCGACGGCUCCUCCGAGCCCCCCUGCCCACCGGCCUCUGAGCCCCUCCCCUGAUUUGAGAGGCCUGUGAUGGAGCGCCACCAGAAAAUUAGUGCCUGACAACGUCGUCUAUUGGCAAUAAAUUAAGAUUCCAAGUGACACGUCGCGGGAUCAAACACAGCCACAUUGUUGUGUACCCUGCUCCGCUCGCUCCUCGUUAAUCUUGGAGGGCGCCUUGGCAUCGCUUGGCCAGGGGAGGUUGUAGGCAGGCCUUUCGGCUGUCAGGACUCGGAUCCUGCCUCUGCCCUGGCUGAGCCCACUUCAGUCAUUCAGGAGGGACUGACUGCCCCUCCCUGAUAAGGUCCAAGGCGCUCAGGAGGCGUGACCCAGGAACGCCUUUCAAUAAGCUGAAGGUUUAUUAAAGUCAGGAGCUUCGAGGGGCAAACUCUGAGUUAAGCUUGUGGGGAAUCGACGUGAGCCUUGCUGGGAAUUCAGAACAUCAAGGUCUGGCCUUGUCUGGAAUUGUCUGGUGUCGAGUUUCCCAAACUUCAAGCUUCCCGCUACCACCUUUAUUAUUUACUUAACAUUUUUCCUUAAAUUGACUCAUUUUUAAAAUCAAAGUACAUAUUUUUGGAAAGAAAAUCUGAUACUACCACUGUAAAUUGAAAAGUAGCUGUUACUCACCAGAAAAGGAAGUGGUAAAAGAUAAACACAGCUAAAACCAAGCAAUGUUAAUACAUGAUAGCCGUUUUGCUGGCUUGGAAAGACUCCUAGAGGCUCAGGUGUGUGUGUGUCAUUAGCAAGUGUUGGAAGUGUUAAAUACUGAAUCUUUCUCAGAAGAAAUGAGACAAUUGAAAAGAGAAUGUUUCUCACUA
This 1450-nucleotide long non-coding RNA is filed under the name Pan troglodytes (chimpanzee). Its description in RNAcentral is "lincRNA". The record is from RNAcentral. Lineage: Eukaryota; Metazoa; Chordata; Mammalia; Primates; Hominidae.